This 503-nucleotide ribosomal RNA is filed under the name uncultured bacterium. RNAcentral describes it as "partial 16S ribosomal RNA". It matches the Rfam family "Bacterial small subunit ribosomal RNA", at positions 30 to 523 of the family's 1533-position model. The record is from RNAcentral.
AUUGAACGCUGGCGGCAGGCUUAACACAUGCAAGUCGAGCGGGGUGAUGGUGCUUGCACUAUCACUUAGCGGCGGACGGGUGAGUAAUGCUUAGGAAUCUGCCUAUUAGUGGGGGACAACAUCUCGAAAGGGAUGCUAAUACCGCAUACGUCCUACGAGAGAAAGCAGGGGAUCACUUGUGACCUUGCGCUAAUAGAUGAGCCUAAGUCGGAUUAGCUAGUUGGUGGGGUAAAGGCCUACCGAGGCGACGAUCUGUAGCGGGUCUGAGAGGAUGAUCCGCCACACUGGGACUGAGACACGGCCCAGACUCCUACGGGAGGCAGCAGUGGGGAAUAUUGGACAAUGGGGGGAACCCUGAUCCAGCCAUGCCGCGUGUGUGAAGAAGGCCUUAUGGUUGUAAAGCACUUUAAGCGAGGAGGAGGCUCUUUUGGUUAAUACCCAAGAUGAGUGGACGUUACUCGCAGAAUAAGCACCGGCUAACUCUGUGCCAGCCGCCGCAGUAA